CUGACUCUUGGAGUUCCUCUGAACGCUUCAUAUGAGAGGCUACCUAGUAAAAAAAUCUUUCAUUAGUAAAGAUAGUCCUUCUUCAAUGAAGUGUUUGGGGGAACUCCGGGAUUCAA
Non-coding RNA from Glycine soja, 116 nucleotides. The record is from Rfam. Lineage: Eukaryota; Viridiplantae; Streptophyta; Magnoliopsida; Fabales; Fabaceae.